CGUGUAUAAAAGCUUCGAACCGAAGUCUUUGCUAACAGUCGCAGCUGCAGCCGAGGAUCCCAUCAGCUGAAAGUCUGCAGAUCCUAGAUUGCCAGCCCAACUCCGUCUGCAAAAUGAAGCUCUUGGCCAUUGCUGUCAUCUUGUGCCUCGCUGUGGCGUACACUCAGGCUUUACCUGCCGAAAUGCCAUCUUCGCCGCUGCUGCUGAGUCGGGAGGCCAGGUCACCAGGCCCAUCCCC
Penaeus vannamei (Pacific white shrimp) is the source of this 238-nucleotide non-coding RNA. Lineage: Eukaryota; Metazoa; Arthropoda; Malacostraca; Decapoda; Penaeidae. The record is from RefSeq and is a predicted model, not a curated record.